AUGCAAAUCCCAUGGAUUUUCCUUGUGUCUUUGGCUUGGGUUUAUGGAGACACCAAAAUGAGAAUAGCUCAAGAUCAACUCUCUUUUACCCGGACACCAGACAAAACAGUGCACAUAACCUGCAAGCUGUCUGGGGUUCCCCUUGAGAAUGCCAUUGUGCACUGGUAUGAACAAAAAGAGGGGGAGCCCCUGAGACGAAUCCUUUAUGGCUCAACCAAAAAUAACAAGGAUGACCAGCUCAAUCCCCGCUUGGAGACAUAUAGGAAAGAUGAUGGAAUCUUUUACCUGAUAAUCAAUAAUGUCAUGAAGUCCGAUGAAGCCACCUACUACUGUGCCUGCUGGGAUCUCACAAUGCUGCAGAGUCAAAGGAACCUGUAA
Molecule: non-coding RNA, 378 nt
Organism: Phyllostomus hastatus (greater spear-nosed bat)
Lineage: Eukaryota; Metazoa; Chordata; Mammalia; Chiroptera; Phyllostomidae
Source: the annotation of a RefSeq genome assembly